CUGGUGCGCAAACUUGGACGCGGACUUAAAAUAAUGUUAUUUCCCGCGGAUGUGAGCGUUCCUGUCACUGAGACAAAGACUCGGAACUUGAGAUUAAGUUAGUAAAUGUGAUUACUCUGCCCAGAAUUACUCCUGCGACUUUUUCUACUUUUUUUUUUCUCGGACUUGCUUGUAAUGGCCAGCAUUGGCUGAAGUGUUUUGAUCCAGUCAGUGACAGCCUGCGAACAGCAGGGAGAGCUGUGCGGCGGCCACACAGCAGUUGAUUAUGAGCGCUUCCAAGCACUGAGGGGAAAUCUGGAGCUGAUUUCUUGCAGAAACGACAACGAUAAUUUAGAAUACAGUGUGGCGGAGAGAAACCAUGGAGGCCUCACAGGACCUCAGCGAACAGAUGGUAAAAAAAUCACACAGUGAAUCUCAUGUUCCAGACCCCUCGGAGGCCAGGUCUAUGGAAAUGCAGGACCUAGCGAGUCCUCAUAACCGCGUGGCAGGUGGAGAUUCAUCAGGAUCCAAGCUGGACAAGAACAACCUCGGCAGCCCUUCCAUCACCACCAAUGGAACAGGAGGUGAAAGCAUGACUGUUCUAAACACGGCUGAUUGGCUGUUGGGCUGCAGCAGCCCACCCCCUGCCUCGGGUUCCAAGGACUAUGUAAAAACAGAGCCUAUGAACAACAGCGAUACAGUCACCACGACAGGCGACACAGCACUGGACACAUAUGCAGGCUCAGUGAUCACCAGCAGUGGAUACAGCCCUCGUUCAGCCCACCAGUACUCUCCUCCCCUCUACCCCUCAAAGCCCUACCCUCACAUACUCUCCACACCGGCAGCACCCCCCAUGCCGACGUAUGCCGGCCAACCUCAGUUCAGCAGCAUGCAGCAGUCGACCGUGUAUACGACAUACUCACAGACAGGACAGGCCUACGGACUGUCAACCUAUGACCUCGGAGUGAUGCUUCCAGGCAUUAAGACAGAGAGUGGCCUCACCCAGAGUCAGUCUCCACUGCAGACUGGCCUCAGCUACAGCCCUGGCUUCACUACACCUCAGCCUGGACAGACGGCCUACUCACCCUAUCAAAUGCCAGGUUCCAGUUUCACUCCUUCCUCAGGCAUCUACGCCACCAACAACUCAGUGUCCAACGCCGCCAACUACACUGCCACACAGCAGGAUUAUCCCUCAUACACAACAUUUGGCCAAAACCAGUAUGCGCAGUAUUACUCUGCCUCCACUUACGGGACAUAUAUGACCUCCAACAGCGUGGAUGGCACAGGCUCCACAGCUGCUUACCAGCUGCAAGAUCCCACCCCCGCCAUGACCGGACAGGCUGCUGAACUUCACCCAGGGGACUUUGAUACAGUGCAGAGCCCUUCCACACCCAUCAAAGAGCUGGAUGACAGAGCCUGUCGGAGUGGGGGGUCAAAGUCGCGCGGCAGGGGCCGCAAAAACAACCCCUCUCCUCCCCCUGACAGUGACCUGGAGAGGGUGUUCGUGUGGGAUCUGGACGAGACGAUCAUUGUUUUCCAUUCUUUGCUCACCGGCUCUUAUGCACAAAAAUAUGGCAAGGACCCUCCCAUGGCAGUGACGCUUGGGCUGAGGAUGGAGGAGAUGAUCUUCAACUUGGCUGACACACACUUAUUCUUUAAUGACCUGGAGGAAUGUGAUCAGGUACAUAUUGAUGAUGUGUCAUCUGAUGACAAUGGCCAGGACUUAAGUACUUACAGUUUUGCAACUGAUGGCUUCCAUGCAGCUGCAACCAGCGCCAACCUGUGCCUGGCAACGGGUGUCCGCGGCGGGGUCGACUGGAUGAGGAAACUGGCCUUCCGAUACCGACGGGUCAAAGAGUUGUAUAGCACGUACAAAAACAAUGUGGGGGGUCUACUGGGUCCUGCUAAGAGAGAUGCCUGGCUGCAGCUCAGAGCAGAGGUGGAAGCUCUGACCGACUCCUGGCUUACUCACGCGCUGAAGUCCCUGUCCAUCAUCAGCUCCAGGAGUAACUGUGUAAAUGUGUUGGUGACCACAACGCAGCUCAUACCAGCGCUGGCUAAAGUUCUUCUAUAUAGUCUCGGAUCAGUUUUCCCUAUUGAGAACAUUUACAGCGCAACAAAAAUAGGCAAAGAGAGCUGUUUUGAGCGUAUAGUCUCCCGCUUUGGCACUAACAUUACAUAUGUUGUGAUUGGCGAUGGGAAGGAUGAAGAGCAUGCUGCCAGCCAGGAAAAGAGAGUUGCUUUGAACGCAUAAUGCAAAGGUUUGGCAGGAAAGUAGUGUAUGUUGUAAUUGGGGACGGUGUGGAAGAGGAGCAGGCGGCCAAAAAGCACAACAUGCCUUUCUGGAGGAUAUCCAGUCACUCUGACCUGCUGGCAUUACACCAAGCACUGGAGUUUGAAUACCUGUAACUAUCCUAGCAAUACGGACUGAUGCAAUGUUACCAUGGAAAUGGCCAGCCAGGCAGCCCCCAUCUUUUGUAUAACUAUUUAAGAACAAAAAAAAAAAAACUACACUGCAACAGUUUGUGAUCUUUUUUUUUUUCUCUCCCCAGUUUAGUUUUUUUUUUUUUUUUUUGAAUGUCUGGAUUUACACUCUUAAUGGUCUUAAGCACAGAGGUUAAAGGAGGGAGGUAAAUAAAAGGUCAGUGUGGUUGGGAAUAGCUGAACAAACCCAACUCAUCUCUGCUCAGCCCUUCUGAUCCUGAAACAAACCUCUGUGGAAACCCAGUGUACGGUCCAUGCAGCUGAAGCAGGAAAUAUCCAGUAUGAAGACCUGAGCCUGGAAAGAUGUUUGUUUUUGAGCUCUGGUUUUAACCAAAGCAUCCAAGGGUAUAAGAAGGACUUGUCCGCACCCCAACAUUCAUUUGAAGGCUUCUCUGUACAAAUUCUGUAAUGCAUACUGGGAUGAGGGUUUUUUUGUGAGUGUUUUUAUGUUAUUUUUUUUGUAAAAGUUUUUCUCCUGAUGGUAUAAUCGCAACACAUGCAGUCUGGUAGAAAUUUCUGUAAAUUAUUUCCAAUAAACUUAAAGGACAGUGGAUGCCUUUGCUCAUUUUGUCAACAACCUGAAUCUAUUGGGAAUCUUGUCUUUUUAUCUCUGGAUUUUAAUAUCUUGCUGUUCCUUCUGAAUUUUCUUGAGGGGUGAGCAUUAGAUUGUUAAAAUGUACCUCAUGAUAUGUUCUUUAAUGGUUAUAUGCUUUUUAGAUUUUUAAAAAUGGGAAAGGCUAUUUAAAAUAAGAACUAUAUAUCUUUUGUGAAUUAAAUUUAGAAUGAAAAAUUACACAAUUACAAUUAUGAAAUUAAAUUUAUAUGCUCACUGCCGCUUUUAAAAGGAGCUCUUUUCACAAGCUGCAACAAUUUUCUUAGGUAUUAAUGAAAUGUUCAACCUGCUUUGGUCAAAAUUACAUGUCAGUUUACACUGCCCUCUUUGAAUACAAUUUUAAAAGGGUGCACUAAGUGUCCUCAAGAAAUCUCAUUUGACAUUGCUGUACAAUUGGAAAAGAAUUGUUGAAUUUAGUUGGCAUUAAAGACAUAAAAAGAAAAAUAUAAACAAUUUGAUGCUGAUAGCAAAGCAAAAAACAAGAUAAGCUCAAACUUCCUAUUUCUGAAGUCCUGUAAAUGUAGCGUUUUAAGUGGGUAGAGAAUGAGCUGAAUAACUUUAAAUGGUGACUUAACGCUGCACCUUGAAUGACUCAGUAAAUGACAUUUUCAGCUGAAGGUCACUCAGAAAAAAGCUGUUUUCUAUGUUUUUGGAGAAAGUAGUGCUGUCAGCAGUAUUUCUUUAUAUCAUUUACCCUUUGCAAAGCUGCAUAAUAUCAAAAUGUGAAUUUUAAAUUUUACGGGGAAAGGGAAAAUAAAC
Molecule: RNA transcript, 3835 nt
Organism: Melanotaenia boesemani (Boeseman's rainbowfish)
Lineage: Eukaryota; Metazoa; Chordata; Actinopteri; Atheriniformes; Melanotaeniidae
Gene: eya4
Gene name: EYA transcriptional coactivator and phosphatase 4
Exons: 21
Source: RefSeq, a predicted model, not a curated record